GGGUGCGAUCACACCAGCGUUAAUGCACCGGAUCCCAUCAGAACUCCGCAGUUAAGCGCGCUUGGGCUAGAGUAGUACUGGGAUGGGUGACCUCCCGGGAAGUCCUAGUGUUGCACCCUU
This 120-nucleotide ribosomal RNA is filed under the name Picea koraiensis. The record is from RNAcentral. Lineage: Eukaryota; Viridiplantae; Streptophyta; Pinopsida; Pinales; Pinaceae.